This 74-nucleotide transfer RNA is filed under the name uncultured Synechococcus sp. RNAcentral's name for it is "tRNA-Ile". It matches the Rfam family "tRNA". From Rfam's summary of the family: Transfer RNA (tRNA) molecules are approximately 80 nucleotides in length. Their secondary structure includes four short double-helical elements and three loops (D, anti-codon, and T loops). Further hydrogen bonds mediate the characteristic L-shaped molecular structure. tRNAs have two regions of fundamental functional importance: the anti-codon, which is responsible for specific mRNA codon recognition, and the 3' end, to which the tRNAs corresponding amino acid is attached (by aminoacyl-tRNA synthetases). tRNAs cope with the degeneracy of the genetic code in two manners: having more than one tRNA (with a specific anti-codon) for a particular amino acid; and 'wobble' base-pairing, i.e. permitting non-standard base-pairing at the 3rd anti-codon position. Lineage: Bacteria; Bacillati; Cyanobacteriota; Cyanophyceae; Synechococcales; Synechococcaceae. The record is from RNAcentral.
GGGCCAUUAGCUCAGGUGGUUAGAGCGCACCCCUGAUAAGGGUGAGGUCCCUGGUUCAAGAUCAGGAUGGCCCA